AUGAAUAUUGCCCUUCUCUUCCGUUGGCUCUGGCGCAUCGCCCAGGGUCAAGGUGGCCUCUGGCUCGACAUUAUCCGGAAUAAAUACCUGCGGGGUCAGCCCCUAGCCUUCUGCCAGAAAUCGGGCGGCUCUCAGUUCUGGCAGUCUAUUGUCCAGCUUCUCCCGGUGCUCCGCAUUGGGACCUCCAUCUCGGUGGGAUCCGGCCUCUCGACGCUUUUCUGGUUUGAUCGUUGGGCCGGAGACGCUCCCUUUGCGGCCCGCUUCCCCGCCCUCUUCUCUAUCUCCGUCGACCCCACGAUUUCGGUCAAUAGGGCCCUUCUUGACUUAGGGCGCCUUGCUUUCCGUCGGCCUUUUGGGCCGGCGGAAUCCGCCGCCUGGCGUGAGUUGCUUGAUUGCGUUGCGUUGCAUGAGCCGUUGGUGGAUGGCAGACCGGACCUUGUGCGGUGGCGUCUGGAUCCGUCGGGCUUGUUCUCCACCAAGUCGCUGUACCCGGCCAUUGCCCCAUCCUCCGCUCCCCUCCCCCUAUCGAUGGUGUGGUCCGUCCGCAUUCCCCUGAAGAUCCGCAUAUUCAUGUGGCAGUGGAUUCGCGGCCGGGUCCCGUCUGGAGUGGAGGUCUGCAAGCGCAAUGGCCCGGGCACCGGUAUCUGCCCGCUCUGUGGAGUCCCUGAAGACUCGAACCACAUCUUCUUCUCCCGCGUCUCCGCCCAGUUCCUCUGGAGCUGCUUUCGCGAGGUGGUCGGUGGUAGUUGGUGCCACACCAAUUUCCCGGACUUUUUUGCUGAACUCCAGUUGUCCCCCACGUCCUCUCGCCACAUUAGGUGGCUUGAGGUUGGCGUUCUCGCCUGGACUCUUUGGACCGUUCGCAAUAAGCUUGUGAUUCAGCACGCUCCCCUUCGUCGCGCUACUGACGCUCUCUACAAAUUCUCGGGUUUCUUGCAGCUUUGGCGGCCGCUUAGCCGCCCCCCGGACCGUGACGCCAUCUCCGCCUUCAUCGCCGACAUCCGUUCGAUGGCCGUCCGCCUGUCGCCGCCGCCCCCGCCGCCUCCGCCGGAUCCUGACUAG
Molecule: ribosomal RNA, 1062 nt
Filed under: Triticum aestivum (bread wheat)
Lineage: Eukaryota; Viridiplantae; Streptophyta; Magnoliopsida; Poales; Poaceae
Description: partial small subunit ribosomal RNA
Source: RNAcentral